Molecule: ribosomal RNA, 671 nt
Filed under: Acetobacter sp. DmelCS_115
Lineage: Bacteria; Pseudomonadati; Pseudomonadota; Alphaproteobacteria; Acetobacterales; Acetobacteraceae
Description: bacterial SSU rRNA
Rfam family: Bacterial small subunit ribosomal RNA
Source: RNAcentral
GAAGGGUUUCGGCCUUAGUGGCGGACGGGUGAAGUAACGCGUAGGUAUCUAUCCAUGGGGUGGGGGAUAACACUGGGAAACUGGUGCUAAUACCGCAUGACACCUGAGGGUCAAAGGCGUAAGUCGCCUGUGGAGGAGCCUGCGUUUGAUUAGCUAGUUGGUGGGGUAAAGGCCUACCAAGGCGAUGAUCAAUAGCUGGUUUGAGAGGAUGAUCAGCCACACUGGGACUGAGACACGGCCCAGACUCCUACGGGAGGCAGCAGUGGGGAAUAUUGGACAAUGGGGGCAACCCUGAUCCAGCAAUGCCGCGUGUGUGAAGAAGGUCUUCGGAUUGUAAAGCACUUUCGACGGGGACGAUGAUGACGGUACCCGUAGAAGAAGCCCCGGCUAACUUCGUGCCAGCAGCCGCGGUAAUACGAAGGGGGCUAGCGUUGCUCGGAAUGACUGGGCGUAAAGGGCGUGUAGGCGGUUUGUACAGUCAGAUGUGAAAUCCCCGGGCUUAACCUGGGAGCUGCAUUUGAUACGUGCAGACUAGAGUGUGAGAGAGGGUUGUGGAAUUCCCAGUGUAGAGGUGAAAUUCGUAGAUAUUGGGAAGAACACCGGUGGCGAAGGCGGCAACCUGGCUCAUUACUGACGCUGAGGCGCGAAAGCGUGGGGAGCAAACAGGAUUA